CAGCCGCCGCGGUAAUACGUAGGGUGCGAGCGUUAAUCGGAAUUACUGGGCGUAAAGCGUGCGCAGGCGGUUAUAUAAGACAGAUGUGAAAUCCCCGGGCUCAACCUGGGACCUGCAUUUGUGACUGUAUAGCUAGAGUACGGUAGAGGGGGAUGGAAUUCCGCGUGUAGCAGUGAAAUGCGUAGAUAUGCGGAGGAACACCGAUGGCGAAGGCAAUCCCCUGGACCUGUACUGACGCUCAUGCACGAAAGUGUGGGGAGCAAACAGGAUUAGAUACCCCUGUAGUCCCUGUCUCUUAUAC
This 301-nucleotide ribosomal RNA is filed under the name uncultured bacterium. RNAcentral describes it as "partial 16S ribosomal RNA". It matches the Rfam family "Bacterial small subunit ribosomal RNA", at positions 509 to 807 of the family's 1533-position model. The record is from RNAcentral.